This 497-nucleotide ribosomal RNA is filed under the name uncultured bacterium. RNAcentral's name for it is "partial 16S ribosomal RNA". It matches the Rfam family "Bacterial small subunit ribosomal RNA", at positions 28 to 507 of the family's 1533-position model. The record is from RNAcentral.
GAUGAACGCUGGCGGCGUGCCUAAUACAUGCAAGUCGAGCGAACAGACGAGGAGCUUGCUCCUCUGACGUUAGCGGCGGACGGGUGAGUAACACGUGGAUAACCUACCUAUAAGACUGGGAUAACUUCGGGAAACCGGAGCUAAUACCGGAUAAUAUAUUGAACCGCAUGGUUCAAUAGUGAAAGACGGUUUUGCUGUCACUUAUAGAUGGAUCCGCGCCGCAUUAGCUAGUUGGUAAGGUAACGGCUUACCAAGGCGACGAUGCGUAGCCGACCUGAGAGGGUGAUCGGCCACACUGGAACUGAGACACGGUCCAGACUCCUACGGGAGGCAGCAGUAGGGAAUCUUCCGCAAUGGGCGAAAGCCUGACGGAGCAACGCCGCGUGAGUGAUGAAGGUCUUCGGAUCGUAAAACUCUGUUAUUAGGGAAGAACAAAUGUGUAAGUAACUAUGCACGUCUUGACGGUACCUAAUCAGAAAGCCACGACUAACUACGUG